AGCGAACGCUGGCGGCAGGCCUAACACAUGCAAGUCGAACGAACCUUUCGGGGUUAGUGGCGGACGGGUGAGUAACACGUGGGAACGUGCCUUUAGGUUCGGAAUAACUCAGGGAAACUUGUGCUAAUACCGAAUAUGCCCUUCGGGGGAAAGAUUUAUCGCCUUUAGAGCGGCCCGCGUCUGAUUAGCUAGUUGGUUGAGGUAAUGGCUCACCAAGGCGACGAUCAGUAGCUGGUCUGAGAGGAUGAUCAGCCACAUUGGGACUGAGACACGGCCCAAACUCCUACGGGAGGCAGCAGUGGGGAAUCUUGCGCAAUGGGCGAAAGCCUGACGCAGCCAUGCCGCGUGAAUGAUGAAGGUCUUAGGAUUGUAAAAUUCUUUCACCGGGGACGAUAAUGACGGUACCCGGAGAAGAAGCCCCGGCUAACUUCGU
RNAcentral lists this ribosomal RNA (433 nucleotides) under uncultured bacterium. RNAcentral describes it as "partial 16S ribosomal RNA". It matches the Rfam family "Bacterial small subunit ribosomal RNA", at positions 29 to 506 of the family's 1533-position model. The record is from RNAcentral.